UUCCGGUUUUUUUCAGUUGGUCGUCAAGGUGACGGGUUGCCUGGAGGCCAGAGGUGACCCUGACCUUGGAGCCGCGCCUACCUAAGGGUUGCGAGGCAGACAGGUUUCCUAGGCGGCAUCCAGAGCCCUGUCUGGAAGGUCCUUCCACAACACCAACUCCCGACGUUGGCCUUGGAAAUUCCCAGGGAAAGUGAGGGCACAGCGCUGGAUUUAUUGAUUCAUUUACUCAUCUUGGCUUUUUCUCCUUCCUCAUUCACUCAUUUAUUGCAGUGGAACUCCCGCCUUCACCACUAACACAGAAAUUGCUCUGGCAAACGUCACCUAUUGCGGGGACUUCCCUGGUGGUCCAGUGAGUAAGACGACGUGCUUCCAUUGCAGGGGGUGGGGUUCGAUCCCUGGCCGGGGAACUAGAUCCCACAUGCAUGCCGCAACUAAGAGUCCUCCUGCAACAACUCAAAAGGAAAGAGCCCUCAUGCAGCAAGGAAGAUCCCGCGUGCAGCAACUAAGACCCGGCGCAGCCUAAAUAAAUUCUUUUCCAUUAUGGGUUAUUACAAGACACUGAAUAUAGUUCCUUCUACUAUACAAUCCAGCUUAAUGGACGUCAGCAGCAGGCGGGGCCAGGCCGAAAGAUGAGGCCACAUUGCAGCGGGACAGAGAUUGCGACCGUGCUGUUGGCCCCGGAGAGGCACGAGGACAGGGGACACGGGUUCGAUCCCUGGUCCAGGAAGAUCCCACAUGCCGCGGAGCAACUAAGCCCGUGUGCCACAACUACUGAGCCUGCGCUCUAGAGUCCGUGCUCCACAACAAGAGAAACCACUGCAAUGAGAAGCCCACGCACCGCAGUGAAGAGUAGCCCCCACUUGCUGCAACUAGAGAGAGCC
This is a long non-coding RNA of Balaenoptera acutorostrata (minke whale), 881 nucleotides long. RefSeq lists it as uncharacterized. The record is from RefSeq and is a predicted model, not a curated record. The transcript is spliced from 3 exons. NCBI's taxonomy places the organism in Eukaryota, Metazoa, Chordata, Mammalia, Artiodactyla, Balaenopteridae.